GCUAAAAUGUUAAUUUUCUAGGAGUAUGCAGCAGCUACCAGUAAAUAUCCCAAGGGAAUGCUUGCUAUGUUGGACGGUUUAUCUCUACGUCUCGAAGGCCGUCAUCACAGUGGAAUAGAUGACAGCAAAAAUAUAACUAGAGUUGUGGUUGAGUUACUGAAGAAAGGACAUGUGUUUAAGAUCACUGGACGGAUAUAGUUACCUUCUCAAAUCAUCAUUACACAGAAAAGUCAUGGAUCAUUUACAGAACAGUUUCAUUUUCUAAAUCUCUCACUUGAUUUUAAAUUAUGUUAAAUUCAUAAAUCUUGUCUAUUUUAACAUGUUUUAUUAUAGAGACUAGAAUUGGUAGUCUUAAUUAUUUUCUUUCCAUUUCAUUAAAAAAAAAUUAAAACAUAAAUGAUCAAUCAUGUUACUGUAUGCAGGGUUCCUGUGUGUGAGUGAGUGGAUAACAACUGUAUGUUUGUACAUGCAUGAGAGACAAACAAACUCUAUUUACAUAUAAUUAUGUAUGGUGAUAUAAUGCUGCAUAUCAAAAACUUUACAAAAGAAACACUAAAGAUGAUAUGUAGCAGAACUGGGUUGGUCUGAAUGCCGGUGGUUAGAUGGCUCAAAUGUUUAGAGCGUCAAUUUAGAGUAUGGAGGUCCUGGUCUUGUGGUUUAAAUCCACAUCUGCAGCAUCUGUAAUCAUUAUUAGUUUUACUGUAUUAUUUGAUACUUACUGGCCGUUACAGGUUUGACUGUAUACACAUAGGCGAGCAUGUUUGUGUAUACAGACAUGUGUUUAAUAUCUACUAGUCUGUUCCAUUUUUAUACCUAUCUCAAUGGGUUGUGUAAAUCUGACUUUUAAUAGCAAGUUAUUGUGAUAUUAACAUGUGAGGGCCUUGGAUGAGUAAAUGAAACUUUGAAUGUA
Pecten maximus is the source of this 910-nucleotide long non-coding RNA. RefSeq lists it as uncharacterized. The record is from RefSeq and is a predicted model, not a curated record. Lineage: Eukaryota; Metazoa; Mollusca; Bivalvia; Pectinida; Pectinidae. The transcript has 2 exons.